RNAcentral lists this ribosomal RNA (498 nucleotides) under uncultured bacterium. RNAcentral's name for it is "partial 16S ribosomal RNA". It matches the Rfam family "Bacterial small subunit ribosomal RNA", at positions 28 to 507 of the family's 1533-position model. The record is from RNAcentral.
GACAAACGCUGGCGGCGUGCCUAAUACAUGCAAGUCGAACGAGAGCGACCGGUGCUUGCACUGGUCAAUCUAGUGGCGAACGGGUGAGUAACACGUGGGUAACCUGCCCAUCAGAGGGGGAUAACAUCCGGAAACGGAUGCUAAAACCGCAUAGGUCUUCGAACCGCAUGGUUUGAAGAGGAAAAGAGGCGCAAGCUUCUGCUGAUGGAUGGACCCGCGGUGCAUUAGCUAGUUGGUGAGGUAACGGCUCACCAAGGCCGUGAUGCAUAGCCGACCUGAGAGGGUGAUCGGCCACAUUGGGACUGAGACACGGCCCAAACUCCUACGGGAGGCAGCAGUAGGGAAUCUUCCGCAAUGGACGCAAGUCUGACGGAGCAACGCCGCGUGAGUGAAGAAGGUUUUCGGAUCGUAAAACUCUGUUGUUAGAGAAGAACAAGUGCUAGAGUAACUGUUAGCGCCUUGACGGUAUCUAACCAGAAAGCCACGGCUAACUACGUG